RNAcentral lists this transfer RNA (92 nucleotides) under Cupriavidus yeoncheonensis. RNAcentral describes it as "tRNA-Ala". Lineage: Bacteria; Pseudomonadati; Pseudomonadota; Betaproteobacteria; Burkholderiales; Burkholderiaceae. The record is from RNAcentral.
ACGCAACUGGCGGCGGAAGAAAUCCGCCGCUUCGGCCUGCACCCGAAGGUGGCGCUGAUGUCGCACUCGAUGUUCGGUUCGUCGACGCGUCC